CUCACCUGCGCGGGGGGCGGCCGAGGAGAUUUGAGCCUCGGCGGCCGCCAUCGUUCCCCUCUGUGGCCGCUUCCCGUUGAUGCCGCUGCGACCGCUCCGGGCUCCUCCAGCGGGGCCCAGGGCUGGACAUGAGCAGUUCUGACAGCUCCUGUUCAUCUGCAUCGUGACAGGGACUGGUUUAGGACUGGCCACAAGCCAGGCUCAGUUCAGCAAGCACAAGCUGUAACUACCUGGGGCUGGAGAUGGACACGAGCUGCAGCCACGAUGGAACUGGAGUCAUCCAAGAGCUGCGCCUGAAAAACAGGAGGGCAGAAAUAGAGACCUGAGGCUGCAAUCGAGCCCGAGCCAUGCAUGAGCUGGAGCUAUUGGGACAGAACCCACUGCCCUGGAGCUGCGAAUGAGCUGCAGCCACCACAGCCAGGAGCCUAACCCAGAGCCAGAACUGAACUGGAGAUGUCCAGGAGCUGUGGCUGAACCAACACCAAAACCAACCCAAAAUCAAACCAGCAAACCCAAACCAAACACAACCUCAGAACACCCCCACACACACCAAGUCCCCAACCUGGAGCUGUGUCAAAGCUGCUUCUUGGGGCUUCACACCCCACACACACUGCAUCUGGGGUACCUCUGCCUGCCCCUGUGUUCAUCCCUGGGCAGGAACGGGUGCAGCCUGGCCCCAAGAGCACCGGAGCUGCUCCCCAGCAGCACCAACCAGCGCUGGGGUCUGGGUCGGGCCUUGCCAGUGCCGGCUCCUGCCUCCUGAGCUGAGCACCGGCUCUGUGGCAUCCUCGCCCCGGUGGAACCAAUUCCGUGCAGCCUCUCCCACACGCAUUGGUCCCAGCUCUUCGUGGCUUCAGUGGGGCCAGCGCUGGACUGGGGACGCUGUGCUCCCGGCAGCUGCUCCAGGAAAGAGCUGGGAGCAGGAAGCAGCAGGGGAGGAGGGAGCCCGCAGCCAGCUCAGGGAACCAGCAGCAGCUGCGGACAAAGCCAGCCGCAGGAGGCGGUUCAGUGCCUUUGGCUGCUCACCGUUACCGGGCAGUAACGAGCUGCAGCCGCCUACUUUCUGCUCCCGCCGUUUGGAGACCCCCAGGAAUCUCAGUCACUCACUCCCCCGUGCAGGUCCCGAUGCCGAGGUCGUGCCUGGGUGUCCUGGCUUGUGCAGGGCUGGGAACAGAGCGUGGCUCAUUGUGGGAUGCAGCGAAUCCCGCAGCACGUGUGGCUCGCGGGGACCUUAAACCGCAAACCCGCCCCAAAACAGCACUGAUCGCACCAGAGGGGACCCCGGACACGGCUCCUGCCCCACCCCUCGGCCCCCGCUAGCGGGGGAAGGUCAGGACCGGGGCGGCGCCCCCUAGCGGAGGGAUGGCAGCAAACGUGCCCCCUAGCGAAAGACUGGGACAGCCUUGGGAUGGCUUCCACCUCUGCAGAGCAGCUGUGCGUGCUGCAUUGGUGCUGAGCUACAGGGAACAGAAAGGAAGGGAACCGACUGCUCCUUCAAUUCUUGUCUCUCUUAACAGGACAGAUGUCAUUAUCUUGGGCAACCGGAUUUCUACAGUUACAGAAGUGUGAGGUCUGAUGAAUAUCAUCUAAUUAUUAAUAACUAAAACAGGCAAAGUCCUGUGCAGCCCACCCAUGGCUGUUCUUUUCCCCCACGUGAACUGAAGGGGAAUCUGUGAUUCCCUGUAUUUACCACGGGCUAAAGGCUACACGUAAGGUUUUAGAGCACAGGACCUAACACACAGUAAAUGCACAGAGCACCGCACAGCUCUGUGUGCACAGCUCGCACUUACACACCUAUCGCUGCUGUCCUGCAGUCUGCCCUGCCCACAGCAAGGCCGAGAGCCAAACCUUGGGAAGUUUCUUUAUAAUCCAAUCCAGAAUUGAGCCAAACGUGAGGGUGUAGGAAGCUCUCAGGAACUGCACAUAAUUCUGCAUGCUCUGGCUCUUGUUCUCGGACUUCUGCAGGCUGUUCUCCAGCUCCUUCAAAUGUACUUCAUGGUGCUUUUUGUUCUAAAGGAAAACACAAAGAGAAAUGCAAUGAGCUUAGAAGUAAACCACAAAUCAAUCAGUAAUCAGGUAAGGUGGCUGGUACCUGAUUGUUGGAAGUGCCAUUUACCUGGGAAAGGUUUCAGAGGCUCCACAAAACCGAAGGGUUCCAAAAAGGCCACAAAAUCUCAAGGCUUUGUUUAUGUUCUGUCAGGACUGAAGUGAAUGUAUUUGACUGGGCUGAUAAUCGGGAAAAGGCCUGGGAAUGUAAGAACUCACUGCCUGAAUUCUCCCAUGAGAGAUUUGUGGCAACUUAAACCUGUCCUGGGCUCAGCGCUCUCUCUCAUCUUGAUUUGUCAAUAAACAUCCGCUAUUGGUAUUUGA
This is a long non-coding RNA of Melopsittacus undulatus (budgerigar), 2370 nucleotides long. RefSeq lists it as uncharacterized. NCBI's taxonomy places the organism in Eukaryota, Metazoa, Chordata, Aves, Psittaciformes, Psittaculidae. The record is from RefSeq and is a predicted model, not a curated record. The transcript is spliced from 2 exons.